RNAcentral lists this ribosomal RNA (1395 nucleotides) under uncultured bacterium. RNAcentral's name for it is "16S ribosomal RNA". It matches the Rfam family "Bacterial small subunit ribosomal RNA". The record is from RNAcentral.
AAGUUGAACGAUGAGGUCAUUUCGGUGACACAUCAGUGGCGGACGGGUGAGUAACGCGUAGGUAAUCUGGCCUUAGGAGGGGGAUAACAUUGGGAAACUGGUGCUAAUACCCCAUAGGUUGCGAUCAGAGAUGGUUGUAAUUAAAGUUCCGGCGCCUGAGGAUGAGCCUGCGUCUGAUUAGCUAGUUGGUGAGGUAAGAGCUUACCAAGGCGACGAUCAGUAGCUGGUCUGAGAGGAUGAUCAGCCACAAUGGGACUGAGACACGGCCCAUACUCCUACGGGAGGCAGCAGUAGGGAAUUUUGCGCAAUGGGCGAAAGCCUGACGCAGCAACGCCGCGUGGACGAAGAAGCCCUUUUGGGGUGUAAAGUUCUGUCAGAGGGGACGAAGAAUUGACGGUACCCUCAGAGGAAGCAUCGGCUAACUCCGUGCCAGCAGCCGCAGUAAGACGGAGGAUGCGAGCGUUAUCCGGAAUCAUUGGGCGUAAAGAGUUCGUAGGCGGUGCAUCAAGUCUGAUGUUAUAGGCAGAGGCUUAACCUUUGUAUGGCGUUGGAAACUGAUGUGCUAGAGGACAGAAGAGGCAAGGGGAAUUCCCAGUGUAGCGGUGAAAUGCGUAGAUAUUGGGAGGAACACCGGUGGCGAAAGCGCCUUGCUGGGCUGUUCCUGACGCUGAGGAACGAAAGCCAGGGUAGCGAAUGGGAUUAGAUACCCCAGUAGUCCUGGCCGUAAACGAUGGAUACUAGGUGUGGCAGGUAUCGACCCCUGCUGUGUCGUAGCUAACGCGAUAAGUAUCCCGCCUGGGGAGUACGCACGCAAGUGUGAAACUCAAAGGAAUUGACGGGGGCCCGCACAAGCGGUGGAACAUGUGGUUUAAUUCGAUGCAACGCGAAGAACCUUACCAAGUCUUGACAUCUAUGGAAUUCCUGAGAGAUCGGGAAGUGCUAUCGUCAGAUAGAGCCAUAAGACAGGUGGUGCAUGGCUGUCGUCAGCUCGUGUCGUGAGAUGUUGGGUUAAGUCCCGCAACGAGCGCAACCCUCGUGGUCAGUUACCUCAGAUGAUCUAUUGUCUGAGUUCGGUCUGGCCAGACUGCCGGUGAUAAACCGGAGGAAGGUGGGGAUGACGUCAAGUCAGCAUGCCCCUUAUGACUUGGGCUACACACGUGUUACAAUGGGUAAGACAGCGAGCAGCCAACUAGCAAUAGUGAGCAAAUCUCAAAAACUUGCCCUUAGUUCGGAUUGCAGUCUGCAACUCGACUGCAUGAAGUCGGAAUCGCUAGUAACCGCAGAUCAGCAUGCUGCGGUGAAUACGUUCCCGGGCCUUGUACACACCGCCCGUCACACCACGGAAGUUGACCAUGCCCGAAGUCGGUGAGCUAACCAGCAAUGGGAGCAGCCGCC